UUUAGGACAAAGCGGUGGAGCAUGUGGUUUAAUUAGAUGCAACGCGAAUAUCCUUACCUGUUCUUGACAUCCACGGAACUUUUCAGAGAUGGAUUGGUCUCUUCGGGAACUGUGAGACAGGUGCUGCAUGGCUGUCGUCAGCUCGUGUUGUGAAAUGUUGGGUUAAGUCCCGCAACGAGCGCAACCCUUAUCCUUUGUUGCCAGCGGUCCGGCCGGGAACUCAAAGGAGACUGCCAGUGAUAAACUGGAGGAAGGUGGGGAUGACGUCAAGUCAUCAUGGCCCUUACGACCAGGGCUACACACGUGCUACAAUGGCGCAUACAAAGAGAAGCGACCUCGCGAGAGCAAGCGGACCUCAUAAAGUGCGUCGUAGUCCGGAUUGGAGUCUGCAACUCGACUCCAUGAAGUCGGAAUCGCUAGUAAUCGUGGAUCAGAAUGCCACGGAUUUUCC
RNAcentral lists this ribosomal RNA (451 nucleotides) under Escherichia coli. RNAcentral's name for it is "bacterial SSU rRNA". It matches the Rfam family "Bacterial small subunit ribosomal RNA", at positions 927 to 1369 of the family's 1533-position model. Lineage: Bacteria; Pseudomonadati; Pseudomonadota; Gammaproteobacteria; Enterobacterales; Enterobacteriaceae. The record is from RNAcentral.